RNAcentral lists this ribosomal RNA (468 nucleotides) under uncultured bacterium. Its description in RNAcentral is "partial 16S ribosomal RNA". It matches the Rfam family "Bacterial small subunit ribosomal RNA", at positions 28 to 507 of the family's 1533-position model. The record is from RNAcentral.
AGCGAACGCUGGCGGCGUGCUUAACACAUGCAAGUCGAACGGAAAGGCCCUGCUUUUGUGGGGUGAUCGAGUGGCGAACGGGUGCGUAACACGUGAGUAACCUGCUCUAGACUUUGGGGUAACUUAAGGAAACUGGGCCUACUCCCGUAUCGGAUCUCCUCCAGCAUGGUGGGGGUUGGAACGUUUAGGCGGUUGGGGAUGGACUCGCGGCUUAUCAGCUUGUUAGUUGGGUAGUGGAUUGCCAAGGCUUGGACGGAUAGCCGGCCUGUGAGGGUGACCGGGCACAUGGGUACUGAGAGACGGACCAGAGGCCUACGGGAGGCAGUAGGGGGGAACAUUGCACAAUGGUCGGAAGCCGGAUGCAGCAACGCCGCGUUCGUGAAGACGGCUUUCUGGUUGAAAACCGCAUUCGCCUGUGACGAAGCGUGAGUGACGGUAAUGAGUAAAGAAGCACCGGCUAACUACGUG